This 253-nucleotide ribosomal RNA is filed under the name uncultured bacterium. RNAcentral's name for it is "partial 16S ribosomal RNA". It matches the Rfam family "Bacterial small subunit ribosomal RNA", at positions 75 to 334 of the family's 1533-position model. The record is from RNAcentral.
CAACCAAAGCUGGCGACCGGCGCACGGGUGAGUAACACGUAUCCAACCUGCCUCAUACUCGGGGAUAGCCUUUCGAAAGAAAGAUUAAUAUCCGAUAGCAUAUAUUUCCCGCAUGGGUUUUAUAUUAAAGAAAUUCGGUAUGAGAUGGGGAUGCGUUCCAUUAGUUUGUUGGGGGGUAACGGCCCACCAAGACUACGAUGGAUAGGGGUCCUGAGAGGAAGGUCCCCCACAUUGGAACUGAGACACGGUCCAA